RNAcentral lists this ribosomal RNA (495 nucleotides) under uncultured bacterium. RNAcentral describes it as "partial 16S ribosomal RNA". It matches the Rfam family "Bacterial small subunit ribosomal RNA", at positions 30 to 507 of the family's 1533-position model. The record is from RNAcentral.
UGACCGCUGGCGGCGUGCCUAAUACAUGCACGUCGAGCGAACGGACGAGAAGCUUGCUUCUCUGAUGUUAGCGGCGGACGGGUGAGUAACACGUGGAUAACCUACCUAUAAGACUGGGAUAACUUCGGGAAACCGGAGCUAAUACCGGAUAAUAUUUUGAACCGCAUGGUUCAAAAGUGAAAGACGGUCUUGCUGUCACUUAUAGAUGGAUCCGCGCUGCAUUAGCUAGUUGGUAAGGUAACGGCUUACCAAGGCAACGAUGCAUAGCCGACCUGAGAGGGGGAGCGGCCACACUGGAACUGAGACACGGUCCAGACUCCUACGGGAGGCAGCAGUAGGGAAUCUUCCGCAAUGGGCGAAAGCCUGACGGAGCAACGCCGCGUGAGUGAUGAAGGUCUUCGGAUCGUAAAACUCUGUUAUUAGGGAAGAACAUAUGUGUAAGUAACUGUGCACAUCUUGACGGUACCUAAUCAGAAAGCCACGGCUAACUACGUG